GUAGUCCGCUGGGGGGGCGCCUAUUUUUGCAUGUCGAGCGGACCGACGGGAGCUUGCUCCCUUAGGUCAGCGGCGGACGGGUGAGUAACACGUGGGUAACCUGCCUGUAAGACUGGGAUAACUCCGGGAAACCGGGGCUAAUACCGGAUGCUUGAUUGAACCGCAUGGUUCAAUCAUAAAAGGUGGCUUUUAGCUACCACUUACAGAUGGACCCGCGGCGCAUUAGCUAGUUGGUGAGGUAACGGCUCACCAAGGCGACGAUGCGUAGCCGACCUGAGAGGGUGAUCGGCCACACUGGGACUGAGACACGGCCCAGACUCCUACGGGAGGCAGCAGUAGGGAAUCUUCCGCAAUGGACGAAAGUCUGACGGAGCAACGCCGCGUGAGUGAUGAAGGUUUUCGGAUCGUAAAACUCUGUUGUUAGGGAAGAACAAGUACCGUUCGAAUAGGGCGGCACCUUGACGGUACCUAACCAGAAAGCCACGGCUAACUACGUGCCAGCAGCCGCGGUAAUACGUAGGUGGCAAGCGUUGUCCGGAAUUAUUGGGCGUAAAGCGCGCGCAGGCGGUUUCUUAAGUCUGAUGUGAAAGCCCCCGGCUCACCGGGGAGGGUCAUUGGAAACUGGGGAACUUGAGUGCAGAGAGGAGAGUGGAAUUCCACGUGUAGCGGGUGAAUGCGUAGAGAUGUGGAGGAACACCAGUGGCGAAGGCACUCUCUGGUCUGUAACUGACCUGAGGCCCGAAGCGUGGGGAACGAACAGGAU
Molecule: ribosomal RNA, 763 nt
Filed under: Bacillus sp. HPC1404
Lineage: Bacteria; Bacillati; Bacillota; Bacilli; Caryophanales; Bacillaceae
Description: bacterial SSU rRNA
Rfam family: Bacterial small subunit ribosomal RNA
Source: RNAcentral